GAUGAACGCUAGCGGCAGGCUUAACACAUGCAAGUCGAGGGGCAGCAUAAUGGAUAGCAAUAUCUAUGGUGGCGACCGGCGCACGGGUGCGUAACGCGUAUGCAACCUACCUUUAACAGGGGGAUAACACUGAGAAAUUGGUACUAAUACCCCAUAAUAUCAUAGAAGGCAUCUUUUAUGGUUGAAAAUUCCGAUGGUUAGAGAUGGGCAUGCGUUGUAUUAGCUAGUUGGUGGGGUAACGGCUCACCAAGGCGACGAUACAUAGAGGGACUGAGAGGUUAACCCCCCACACUGGUACUGAGACACCGACCAGACUCCUACGGGAGGCAGCCGUGAGGAAUAUUGGGCAAUGGACGCCAGUCUGAACCAGCCAUGCCGCGUGCAGGAUGACGGCUCUAUGAGUUGUAAACUGCUUUUGUACGAGGGUAAACGCAGAUACGUGUAUCUGUCUGAAAGUAUCGUACGAAUAAGGAUCGGCUAACUCCGUG
RNAcentral lists this ribosomal RNA (488 nucleotides) under uncultured bacterium. RNAcentral describes it as "partial 16S ribosomal RNA". It matches the Rfam family "Bacterial small subunit ribosomal RNA", at positions 28 to 507 of the family's 1533-position model. The record is from RNAcentral.